GCCUGGCUGGCUCAGUCGGUAGAGCAUGCGACUCUUAAUCUCAGGGUUGUGAGUUCAAGCCCCACACUAGGCG
RNAcentral lists this transfer RNA (73 nucleotides) under Ailuropoda melanoleuca (giant panda). It matches the Rfam family "tRNA". From Rfam's summary of the family: Transfer RNA (tRNA) molecules are approximately 80 nucleotides in length. Their secondary structure includes four short double-helical elements and three loops (D, anti-codon, and T loops). The record is from Rfam by way of RNAcentral. Lineage: Eukaryota; Metazoa; Chordata; Mammalia; Carnivora; Ursidae.